RNAcentral lists this ribosomal RNA (205 nucleotides) under uncultured Sphingobacteriales bacterium. RNAcentral describes it as "partial 16S ribosomal RNA". It matches the Rfam family "Bacterial small subunit ribosomal RNA", at positions 28 to 231 of the family's 1533-position model. The record is from RNAcentral. Lineage: Bacteria; Pseudomonadati; Bacteroidota; Sphingobacteriia; Sphingobacteriales.
GAUGAACGCUAGCGGCAGGCUUAAUACAUGCAAGUCGAGGGGCAGCGGGAGUAGCAAUACUUGCCGGCGACCGGCGCACGGGUGCGUAACACGUAUACAAUCUACCCUUUACAGGGGGAUAGCCCUCCGAAAGGAGGAUUAAUACCCCAUAAUAAAUUGAAUGGCAUCAUUUGAUUUUGAAAGAUUUAUCGGUAAAGGAUGAGUA